Molecule: non-coding RNA, 145 nt
Organism: Gossypium arboreum
Lineage: Eukaryota; Viridiplantae; Streptophyta; Magnoliopsida; Malvales; Malvaceae
Source: Rfam
UGUUAAAAAAUUCAUUUGUUUCUAUUGUUAAAAAUUGGUGUGACUGACAGAAUAACCAAAUAGUUAUACAUGGCAUGCCACGAGUACUUCCUGCUGACUCACAAUGCCCAAUUUUUAAUAAUAGAAAUGGAUGAAAUUUUUAAUA